CUUCAGAGGUGUGAACAACCCCAGGCCACAUGGCUUCCAAACCCAAGCCCUCAGACUCUGCUGUAGGCUGCUCAGAGGCAAAUGGGGCCUCCUGGGGGCCUAACCCCUGCACACGCCCACGGUGUGAGGUAGGGCAAUGACAUGACCUCUCUGAGCUGCGCUUGUCUCCUGGCUCAGGCCUUAUGGGGUCUUUAAAGGAUUCAACGAGCAGAAGUGUGCAAAGCUGGGUUCAAGGAGUCCCUUAGUGCCGUUACCGUCCUGCUGUGGCCCAGCCCUCACCCACUUGCCUUCUUCCUCCAGCUCCACCCUGAAUGAAGCCAACACCUCCUCUACCAUCUCCUGUGACAGUCCUCUCGACCCCCAGGAAGAACCAGAGCCAGAACCCCUGCCCCAGCCCCAGGGGGACUCCCAGAUGGAGCUGGAGCCACCAAUGAUGCAGGCUGCCCUGGGCCUCGGGCCGAAGCAGAGGACAGCUUUCUGUAGGGGCUGGCCCCCACUCUGUGCCACCAGAAGCUCCCCUUCUGCCACCAGGCCACAGCCCCCGGGCCUGGCAUCCUGUGAGCCGUGCUGCUCCUGCCAGCUGUCCCAUGUGGAAGGCUUCUGUCCCUGCCACACUGCUCCCCAAGCCCUGGGGCUGGCUCAGGAGGCCAGAGAACUGCAGGACCAUGCCCAGCCUCUGCCUCAGGGAGGCCAUGUGACUGAGCCAAGGUCCUUCCCAGGGGACCCAGUUUCCCAGUGCACAAGAUGAGACAUUGAACUUGGUAGUUCACAGUCCACCUGGGAGUCUCCCUGGCUGACAAGGCUGGAAUCUGGGGGAGUUUCCUGGGGGAGUGAGGGGGUCAGUAACCUCUCUCUGUUCAGCCAGCUACCCCUCAAGGAGUCGCAGGCUUGUCCCCACACUUCCAUCUGCCCAGGAGCUGGGGAAGAAACCCUGGCACCCCUGGCUCCUGGCUGAGCUGGGCUUGCUCUGGCCAGUGUUGCUUCGCUCUGAAGCCACCUCCCCUGACACUAGUCUCUGCUUUCCCAGGACUGAGCAGGUCUGGGCCAGCCAUGCUUAAUUAGUGCUGUAAUUAUUGCUGGGACUGAACCAAGUACAGUACUUCCCGGCCUGCAGACCCAGCCCGUAUCACGAGGUGGCCAGCACCUCACCAUGGUAAUUUUCUUGCUCAUGAGGGGAUAAGCUACCUGAGAAAAUAGAGUCUAAAAUAGUUAGUGAAGAAAUUAGAGGAAGUGUCCUUUGGUAUAGUCUGAGGAAAGGGAUAGCUGGGUCAAAUGGUGGUUCCAUUCCCAGAUUUCCAAGGAAUCUCCAUACUGCUUUCCAAAUUGGCUGCACCAAUUUGCAGUCCCACCAGCAAUGAGUGAGUGUACCUUUCCCCCCACAUCCUCUCCAACACUUAUUGAUGUUUGUCUUCAUAAUAGCUGCCAUUCUGACUGGAGUGAGAUGAAAUCUUAGAGUAGUUUUGAUUUGUAUUUCUCUAAUUGCUAGAGAUGAUGAACAUUUUUUCAUAUAUUUGUUGAUUGAUUGUAUAUCCUCUUCUGAGAGGUGUCUGUUCAGGUCCUUGACCCAUUUGAUGAUUAGGUUAUUUGUAUUUUUGGUGUUUAGCUUUUUGAGUUCUUUAUAUACCCUAGAGAUUAGUGCUCUAUCUGAUGUGUGAGGGAUAAAAAUUUGCUCCCAGGAUGUAGGCUCUCUGUUCACCCCACAGAUUGUUUCUUUUGCUGAGAAGAAACUUUUUAGUUUGAUUCCAUUUCUCUCCUUGGACUACACCCAAAGGACUUAAAAACAGCAUACUACAGGGACACAGCCACAUCAAUGUUUAUAGCAGCACAAUUCACAAUAGCUAAACUGUGGAGGCAAUUUAGAUGUCCUUCAGUGGAUGAAUGGAUAAAAAAAUGUGGCAUAUAUACACAAUGAAAUAUUACUCAGCAUUAAAAAAGAACAAAAUCAUGGUAAAUGAAUGGCAUUGGAGAAGAUAAUGCUAAGAUAAGCUAGCCAAUCCCCCCAAAAACAAAUGCCAAAUGUUUUCUCUGAUAUAAGGAGGCUGACUCAUAGUGGGGUAGAGAGGGAGAGCAUGGGAGGAUUAGAUGAAUUCUAGAUAGGGAAAAAGGGUGGGAGGGAAAGGGAGGGGGCAGGAGAAUAGCAAGGAUGGUAGAAUGUGAUGGACAUCAUUAUACCAAGUACAUGUAUGAAGACUUGAAUUGGGUGUCAACUUACUUUACAUUCCAACAGAGAUAUGGAUAUGAAAAAUUGUGGUAUAUAUGUAUAUUAAGAAUUGUCAUGCAAAAAAACACACGGUAUAUGUAUAACGGCAUGUAUUGACGUGAACAUGCUUUAUAUACAGAGAUAUGAAAAAAUAUACUCUGUAUGUGUAAUAAGAAUUGUAAUGCAUUCCACUGCUGUUGUGUAUUUUAAAAAAUUGAUAAAAGAUUAAAAAAUAAAUUAAUUAAUUAAGAGGCAGUGUCAAAGAAUAGUUUUUAAGAGCUUAAUAGGAUCUUCCAGUCCUGGUUGGAGCUGGAACAGAACAAUUAGAAAAUUCCUCUAAUGGUUUAUUUAAGGGGGUACAUUAAAGGCAUGGACAGGGUUUCAGGGGUAGAGUCUUGCUUCAUGAUGUCUUGCAGUCACAGGUUGAUUGGCAUCUUGGCCUCUCCAUCUCUGAGAGGCUGUGUGGCAACCAGGUCACCCCUUCUCCAGGCUGUGUGGGACCAGGCAGAGCUGAAUAGGAUUCAUAUGUGUCUGGAAGAUCUUACCAGCAGGGUUGCCACUGAAACUCCCCAAUACCGGAUUCUCCUAUUCAGUGGACUUCCUUGCUGAUUUCGUUCAUAUAUAGUCCAUGGAUGGCUCUCAACAAGCCCAGGACACUCGGGGCACACUGGCUGUGGACAGGACCCAUGUCUUCCAGGCCCCUUUGGUUCUGAGGCUUUUCCUCUUCAUCCUCAAGUUACAGGCCCAGCGGAUCCUGCAUCUGUGACAAAUGUGUUGAUGUGCCAGCAUUAUGUCCACAUGUGAGCACCAGUAGGUGGCCCUGACUCUGCAUUGGACUUGCUGUGACCUUGGAGGAAUCCCUUGCCCUCUCUGGGCCCGUUUUCCCCUUUGAAGAAUAAAUAAGUUGGA
This 3109-nucleotide long non-coding RNA is filed under the name Marmota monax (woodchuck). Lineage: Eukaryota; Metazoa; Chordata; Mammalia; Rodentia; Sciuridae. The record is from RNAcentral.